UACUACGAGCGAUCUAUUCUGAACUUCUACUACGAGCGAUCUACUCCGGAUCUCUACUGUAAGUGAAUUCUAUCCGAGCUUCUACUGUAAAUAAAUUUCUUCCGAACUUCUAUUACAGGUAGACUUCAGCCGAGCUCCUACAGUGGAUGGAUCCCAGACGAGCUUCUACAAUGGGAUAGGCUCCAUCGACCAGGUCACUACUCCGAGCUCCCACAACAAUCGAUCUUCGAUCGAGCUUCUACAAUAAGCGAUCUCCUUUCAGCCUUCUACA
RNAcentral lists this long non-coding RNA (271 nucleotides) under Elaeis guineensis (African oil palm). Its description in RNAcentral is "long non-coding RNA (EGUI_LNC065470)". Lineage: Eukaryota; Viridiplantae; Streptophyta; Magnoliopsida; Arecales; Arecaceae. The record is from RNAcentral.